AUCGCUUCUCGGCCUUUUGGCUAAGAUCAAGUGUAGUAUCUGUUUUUGGCCACAAAAGCCAAGCGUUCGAGAACGGAACAAUGGCUAUGACACCCCACGAGCAGCCGAUCCCAA
This is a small nuclear RNA of 114 nucleotides. Its record names the gene U2. It matches the Rfam family "U2 spliceosomal RNA". From Rfam's summary of the family: U2 is a small nuclear RNA (snRNA) component of the spliceosome (involved in pre-mRNA splicing). The record is from Ensembl.